AACGAACGCUGGCGGCAGGCCUAACACAUGCAAGUCGAACGCCCUAGCAAUAGGGAGUGGCAGACGGGUGAGUAACACGUGGGAACCUUCCCUAUAGUAUGGAAUAGCCCAGGGAAACUUGGAGUAAUACCGUAUACGCCCGAGAGGGGAAAGAUUUAUCGCUAUAGGAUGGGCCCGCGUAGGAUUAGCUAGUUGGUGAGGUAAUGGCUCACCAAGGCGACGAUCCUUAGCUGGUCUGAGAGGACGACCAGCCACACUGGGACUGAGACACGGCCCAGACUCCUACGGGAGGCAGCAGUGGGGAAUAUUGGACAAUGGGCGCAAGCCUGAUCCAGCCAUGCCGCGUGAGUGAUGAAGGCCUUAGGGUUGUAAAGCUCUUUUGCCGGGGACGAUAAUGACGGUACCCGGAGAAUAAGUCCGGCUAACUUCGUG
This 432-nucleotide ribosomal RNA is filed under the name uncultured bacterium. RNAcentral describes it as "bacterial SSU rRNA". It matches the Rfam family "Bacterial small subunit ribosomal RNA", at positions 29 to 507 of the family's 1533-position model. The record is from RNAcentral.